Molecule: ribosomal RNA, 498 nt
Filed under: uncultured bacterium
Lineage: Bacteria
Description: partial 16S ribosomal RNA
Rfam family: Bacterial small subunit ribosomal RNA
Source: RNAcentral
AUUGAACGCUGGCGGCAUGCCUUACACAUGCAAGUCGAACGGUAACAGGUCUUCGGAUGCUGACGAGUGGCGAACGGGUGAGUAAUACAUCGGAACGUGCCUAGUAGUGGGGGAUGACUACUCGAAAGAGUGGCUAAUACCGCAUGAGAUCUACGGAUGAAAGCAGGGGAUCGCAAGACCUUGUGCUACUAGAGCGGCCGAUGGCAGAUUAGGUAGUUGGUGGGAUAAAAGCUUACCAAGCCGACGAUCUGUAGCUGGUCUGAGAGGACGAUCAGCCACACUGGGACUGAGACACGGCCCAGACUCCUACGGGAGGCAGCAGUGGGGAAUUUUGGACAAUGGGUGCAAGCCUGAUCCAGCAAUGCCGCGUGCAGGAUGAAGGCCUUCGGGUUGUAAACUGCUUUUGUACGGAACGAAAGGCCCUGGGUUAAUACCCUGGGGUCAUGACGGUACCGUAAGAAUAAGCACCGGCUAACUACGUGCCAGCCGCCGCCGUAA